CAUACUGGUUUGUACUGGGAGGGACUGGGAGAGGUUAAAAAGGGGAUUUGGGGUUACUGGUUUAUACUGGUUUAUACUGGGAAUGCCAUUAGAAAGCUCUGGGAGUUACUGGGACGGAACUGGGAUUGAACCAGUGCCAAACUGGUUUAUACUGGUGUGUACUGGUCUGUACUGGUUUGUACUGGUUUGUACUGGUAUGUACUGGUUUAUACUGGUUUGUACUGGUCUAUACUGGUUUAUACUGGUUUAUACUGGUUUGUACUGGUCUGUACUGGUUUAUACUGGUUUGUACUGGUUUAUACUGGUCAGACGCCCCCGUGGUGAGCGCCGGCCCCUCCCCCGUGGUGGUUCCGGAAGGUUCCGAGGCCGUGCUGGGGCUGUCGGUGCGAGCCCAUCCCCCCCCCGAGGGCUGCGCCUGGAGCACCGCGGGGCGGGGCAUCAACCCGGGUACUGGUUUGUACUGGUUUGUACUGGUUUGGACUGGUUUGGACUGGUUUGGACUGGUUUGGACUGGUUUGGACUGGUUUGGACUGGGAGGGACUGGUUUGGACUGGUUUGGACUGGUUUAUACUGGGAGGGGCAUCAACCCCGGUACUGGUUUGGACUGGGAGGGACUGGGAGGGACUGGGAGGGACUGGGAGGGACUGGUUUGGACUGGUACAUACUGGUUUGUACUGGUUUGGACUGGUUUGUACUGGUUUAUACUGGGAGGGGCAUCAACCUCGGUAUGAUGGGAUAUACUGGUUUGUACUGGUUUAUACUGGUUUAUACUGGGAGAGACUGGGAGGGGCAUCAACCCCGGUACUGGUUUGUACUGGUUUGUACUGGUUUGUACUGGGAGGGGCAUCAACCCCGGUAUGAUGGUUUGUACUGGUUUAUACUGGUUUGUACUGGGAGGGGCAUCAACCCCGGUACUGGGAGAUACUGGUUUAUACUGGUUUAUACUGGUUUAUACUGGUUUAUACUGGUUUAUACUGGUUUAUACUGGGAUAUACUGGGAUAUACUGGGAUAUACUGGUUUAUACUGGGAUGGAUUGGGAGGGGCAUCAACCCCGGUACUGGUUUAUACUGGGAUAGACUGGGAUAUACUGGAAUGGACUGGUUUAUACUGGUUUAUACUGGGAGGGACUGGGAGCGCCCUGAGGGGUUACUGGGAGCACUGGGAACACUCCAAUAUCUCUUGGGUGGGCGUGGCCUCUCCUUAACCCCGCCCCUUUUAUUAACUCCGCCCCCUGAGGAGUUACUAGGAGCACCUCAGUGUCUCCCAGUGGGCGUGGCCUCUCCCUAACCCCGCCCCUUUAUUAGCUCCGCCCCCUGAGGGGUGACUAGGAGCACCUCAGUGUCUUCCCAGUGGGCGUGGCCUCUCCCUAACCCCGCCCCUUGAGGGGUUACUAGGAGCACUGGGAACGCCUCAGUAUCUCCUGGUGGGCGUGGCCUCUCCCUAACCCCGCCCCCUGAAGGGUUACUGGGAGCACUGGCAAUGCCUCAGUAUCUCCCGGGGGGCGUGGCCUCUCUCUAACCCCGCCCCCCUUUGUUGGCCCCGCCCCCAGAGGGCUCCCCGCGCUUCCGGUUGUCGCCGGCGGGCGCUCUCGUCAUCGCCAACGUCACGCGCGGCGACAGCGCCGCCUACCGGGUGUGGUGCGUCAACGCCGAGGGCGGGGCCGGCGCUGACGUCACGCUGCUGGUGCAGGGUACGGGAGGCCCCGAAAAAAACCCCGAAUUCACCCCAAAAUUGGCUUCAAAAUCCCCUUCCAAAUUCACCCGGAAUUACCCCAAAAUCACCCCGGAAUGAACGGAAAAUUGACGCGGAUGGAGCUGAAAUUACCUAAAAAUGAACCCAAAAUUCACCUGGAACGAACCAAAAAUGAUCCCAAAAAUUACCCCGAAAUUCACCUGGAAUGAACCCAAAAUUAUCCCGAAAUUCACCUGGAAUGAACCCAAAAAAUCACCCCAAAAUCAACUCAAAAUUCACCCCAA
Long non-coding RNA from Junco hyemalis (dark-eyed junco), 1977 nucleotides. The record is from Ensembl. NCBI's taxonomy places the organism in Eukaryota, Metazoa, Chordata, Aves, Passeriformes, Passerellidae.